UACGUAGGGCGCAAGCGUUGUCCGGAAUCAUUGGGCGUAAAGAGCUCGUAGGUGGUCUGUUACGUCUGCUGUGAAAACCUAGGGCUUAACCCUGGGCCUGCAGUGGAUACGGGCAGACUAGAGGUAGGUAGGGGAGAAUGGAAUUCCCGGUGUAGCGGUGAAAUGCGCAGAUAUCGGGAGGAACACCGGUGGCGAAGGCGGUUCUCUGGGCCUUACCUGACACUGAGGAGCGAAAGCGUGGGGAGCAAACAGG
This 253-nucleotide ribosomal RNA is filed under the name uncultured bacterium. RNAcentral's name for it is "partial 16S ribosomal RNA". It matches the Rfam family "Bacterial small subunit ribosomal RNA", at positions 524 to 776 of the family's 1533-position model. The record is from RNAcentral. RNAcentral also lists the same sequence under 1 other name.